CCAAUAGCGUAUAUUAAAGUUGUUGCAGUUAAAAAGCUCGUAGUUGAAUUUCGGGAUCAAUAUGUUGGUCGUGCCUUGGUACGUACUGGCGUCAUUGGUUUCUCCUUUCUGAAGAACCAUGAUGUCAUUUAUUUGGUGUCGUGGGGAAUCAGGACUGUUACUUUGAAAAAAUUAGAGUGUUUAAAGCAGGCUCACGCUUGAAUACAUUAGCAUGGAAUAAUGAAAUAGGACGUUUGAUUCUAUUUUGUUGGUUUCUAGGAUCGACGUAAUGAUUAAUAGGGAUAGUUGGGGGCAUUAGUAUUCAAUUGUCAGAGGUGAAAUUCUUGGAAUUAUUGAAGACUAACUACUGCGAAAGCAUUUGCCAAGGAUGUUUUCAUUAAUCAAGAACGAAAGUUAGGGGAUCGAAGACGAUCAGAUACCGUCGUAGUCUUAACCAUAAACUAUGCCGACUAGGGAUCGGAUGAUGUUAAUUUUUUAAUGACUCAUUCGGCGCCUUACG
RNAcentral lists this ribosomal RNA (499 nucleotides) under uncultured Glomeromycotina. RNAcentral describes it as "partial small subunit ribosomal RNA". It matches the Rfam family "Eukaryotic small subunit ribosomal RNA", at positions 591 to 1092 of the family's 1831-position model. The record is from RNAcentral. Lineage: Eukaryota; Fungi; Glomeromycota.